GACGAACGCUGGCGGCGUGCCUAAUACAUGCAAGUUGAGCGAUGAAGCUUGGUGCUUGCCCCAAUUUGAAGAGCAGCGAACGGGUGAGUAACGCGUGGGGAAUCUGCCUUUGAGCGGGGGACAACAUUUGGAAACGAAUGCUAAUACCGCAUAACAACUUUAAACAUAAGUUUUAAGUUUGAAAGAUGCAAUUGCAUCACUCAAAGAUGAUCCCGCGUUGUAUUAGCUAGUUGGUGAGGUAAAGGCUCACCAAGGCGAUGAUACAUAGCCGACCUGAGAGGGGGAUAGGCCACAGUGGGACUGAGACACGGCCCAAACUCCUACGGGAGGCAGCAGUAGGGAAUCUUCGGCAAUGGACGAAAGUCUGACCGAGCAACGCCGCGUGAGUGAAGAAGGUUUUCGGAUCGUAAAACUCUGUUGGUAGAGAAGAACGUUGGUGAGAGUGGAAAGCUCAUCAAGUGACGGUAACUACCCAGAAAGGGACGGCUAACUACGUG
RNAcentral lists this ribosomal RNA (497 nucleotides) under uncultured bacterium. RNAcentral's name for it is "partial 16S ribosomal RNA". It matches the Rfam family "Bacterial small subunit ribosomal RNA", at positions 28 to 507 of the family's 1533-position model. The record is from RNAcentral.